UGGGGAAUAUUGGGCAAUGGGGGAAACCCUGACCCAGCAACGCCGCGUGAAGGACGAAGGCCUUCGGGUUGUAAACUUCUUUGAUCAGGGACGAAAAAAAUGACGGUACCUGAAGAACAAGCCACGGCUAAAUACGUGCCAGCAGCCGCGGUAAUACGUAGGUGGCGAGCGUUAUCCGGAUUUACUGGGUGUAAAGGGCGUGCAGGCGGGUCCGCAAGUCGGGUGUGAAAUAUCCGGGCUUAACCCGGAAAGGUCAUUCGAAACUGCGGAUCUUGAGUACUGGAGAGGACAGUGGAAUUCCUGGUGUAGCGGUAAAAUGCGUAGAUAUCAGGAGGAACACCAGUGGCGAAGGCGGCUGUCUGGACAGUAACUGACGCUGAGGCGCGAAAGCGUGGGGAGCAAACAG
Molecule: ribosomal RNA, 406 nt
Filed under: uncultured bacterium
Lineage: Bacteria
Description: bacterial SSU rRNA
Rfam family: Bacterial small subunit ribosomal RNA
Source: RNAcentral